GGCCGCCUGGCGAAAUGGCAUCGCGUCUGACUACGAUCGAUUCAUCAUUCUCCAUAUCGUCAAUCAGGAGAUUGCAGGUUCGACCCCUGCGGUGGUCA
This is a non-coding RNA of Lentinula raphanica, 98 nucleotides long. Lineage: Eukaryota; Fungi; Basidiomycota; Agaricomycetes; Agaricales; Omphalotaceae. The record is from the annotation of a GenBank genome assembly.